GGGGCUGUAGCUCAGCUGGAAGAGCGCCUGGUUCGCAAUCAGGAGGUCAGGGGUUCGAACCCCCUCUGCUCCACCA
This 76-nucleotide transfer RNA is filed under the name Candidatus Omnitrophota bacterium. RNAcentral's name for it is "Candidatus Omnitrophica bacterium tRNA-Ala". It matches the Rfam family "tRNA". Rfam says of the family: Transfer RNA (tRNA) molecules are approximately 80 nucleotides in length. The record is from RNAcentral. Lineage: Bacteria; Pseudomonadati; Candidatus Omnitrophota.